This is a long non-coding RNA of Ficedula albicollis (Collared flycatcher), 2478 nucleotides long. The record is from Ensembl. NCBI's taxonomy places the organism in Eukaryota, Metazoa, Chordata, Aves, Passeriformes, Muscicapidae.
CCCCCCCCCCCCCCCCCCCCCCCCCCCCCCCCCCCCCCCCCCCCCCCCCCCCCCCCCCCCCCCCCGGUGCCCGGCCCGGCCGCACGGAGGGAGCCUGUCAAUCCCCCGGGCUGCGCGCCCCCCCGCGCCAGCCACUCGCACCUGAGCAGUCCCUACUUCCGUACCAGUACCUAAUGGAGGGACGGGGGAGAUCCAGAAGAUGGAGGCAGGCUUUUCUCCGUGGUUCGCGAGCAGUAGGACAAGAGGCAGUGGGCACAAACUGAUGCACUGGAAGCUCCACCUGAACACGAGGAAGAACUUCUUGGCUGUGCGGGUGACCAAGCACUGCCACGGAUUGUCUAGAGAGGUUGUGAAGUGUCCCCCACUGGAGAUGCUCAAGAACUGUCUGGACACGAUCCUGUGCGGUGUUCUCUAGGAUGACUGCUCGAGCAGGGAGGCUGGACCACACAACCCGCUGUCUUCCCUUCCGACCUGACCGAUUCUGUAAUUCUGCAAUACCUUCGUGGGGUGCUUCCCCCCAGCCCAAUCUUUAUACACAGUUUGUUGUGGCAGAACUAGAACCCAUGGGCUAUGAUCACAAAACAUAUGCUUAUUGGGAAGAAGCUUCCUACCUCUCUUAGAAGUUUCUCCAGGUAUCUAGCAUGGAUGAGAAGAGCAUAAGAAGAAUGCAGAACUUUAUCAGUGCACUGGCAACAGGUAAACUGGUUCCAAGUUUAGGAUUUAUUUCUAUGGAGAACAACUUUACCUUUAGAAAACCUAACUCUAGUGUACAAAUGGAGUUGCAGACCUUUGCUGAUCUUAUUUACAUAACAAUUCUCACCAGCAGGAAUGUGCCCCAGCUUUAUUUGUUUUCAAACACAAUACUGUGUGCAAAAAUGAAUUAUUUAUCCAUUGAUUUUUUUAUGAAGAGUUAAUACAAUGAUUCAUUAUUCUUUUGGUUUCCCAAAAAUUUUAACACUUCAAGUAGAAUCUUUAACAAGCAUACAAAAUUAUUCCAAACAAUUUACAUUUAAUUUAACCAGAGCAAAUAUAAAUUUGAAAGUAAGGUGAUGGCAAAUUACAGAGCCAUCAAGUAAAAGCUUGAUGGGGAGUCAGGCAUGCAUCUCUGAAAAUUGCAGCAACAGUAAUACUGUCUUGUGGAGCAGAACGGGUUCCACCAAAAUUAAGUCUCUAAGUAUGACCAAGUGACCCACCUAGCAGAUGAGAGAAAGGCUGUGUAUGUUUGUCUACCUGGACUUCAGUAAAGCCUUUGAUACUCUCACCCACAGCUUCUUCCUGGAGAAACUGGCUACUCAUGACUUAAGACUAGUUUGCUGGUUAAAAACUGGAUAGAUAGCUGGGCUGUGGGUGUUGGUGAAUGGAGUUAUCUGGCUGACAGUCACUACUGCAGUUUACUAGGGCUCACUGCUGGGACUGGUCCUAUUUAAUAUCUUUAUCAAUUAUUUGGAUAAGGUGAUCAAGUACCACCUCAAUUUGCAGACGACACCAAGUUGGGUGGGAGAGUUGAUCUGCUGGAAGGCCCUGCAGAAGGAUCUGGACAGGCUGAAUCAAUGAGCUGGGGCCAGUGGUAUGCAGUGCAAUAAGGUCAGGUGCUGACUCCCACCCUUGGGUCACAAGAACCCCUUUCCCUGCUACAGGCUUGGGGCAGGGAGACUGAAAAGCUGCUCAGCCAAAAAAGACCUAGGGGUCAACAGCAGAUCCUGACCUGGGACAUUGUGCAUUGUGGAGUGUGUCCAGAGAAGGGCAGUGGAGCUGUGAUGAAGGGCCUGGUGCACAAAUCUUACAAGAACCAGCUGAGAGAGCUGGAGGUGUUUAGCCUGGAGAAAAAGGAGAGAAUGAUGUUCAGGAGUGACCUUAUCCCUCUCUUACAGCUACCUAAGAGUGUAGCAGGCAAGGGUCGGCCUCUUCUCCCAGGAAAUUAGAAACUGGAGAAGAACACAUAGCCUCAAUAUGUGCUAGCACAGGUUCAGGUUGGACAUGAGAAAGAAUUUUGUCACUGAAAGACUGGCUAAGCAUUGGAACAAGCUAACCAGGAGGUGGUGGUGUCACCAUCCCAGGAAGUCUUCAAUAAAUGACUAGACAUGCAACUUAGUGCUAUGGUUCAGUUGGCAUGAUGGUGUUUCAUCAAAGGUUCGACUUACAGAUCUUUUCCAACUUUAAUAACUUUAUGAUUUUAGAAAAUUCAGUCUUAGGAAUAUACCUUUUUAAUGGGACAAUCCAUGGACUUAGAGAAGGUAGCAAAUAUAUACCAAUCUACACACAGUGUGGAAAGGCAAGGACAUCAGAGGUGUCAUAAGCGAAAACAAGAAGCUUGUAAGUCUACAUAAAUCAUGUUGUGUUCAUUUAAUAUUGUUGACAAGGCAAUACAAGUAACAAACUGAGUCACAGAUUACUGGCAUUUACGCAGAGUCACAAGUUUUCAGACAAAGACAGGCUUCUCAGUUCUGCAUCUUUACAGGCUACUAAAAAAGUAUUUAC